This is a long non-coding RNA of Maylandia zebra (zebra mbuna), 778 nucleotides long. RefSeq lists it as uncharacterized. The record is from RefSeq and is a predicted model, not a curated record. NCBI's taxonomy places the organism in Eukaryota, Metazoa, Chordata, Actinopteri, Cichliformes, Cichlidae.
AAAACACUAAGAAAUGAGGUGUGCACAGUAUUGCACAUGGAUGCCAAUCUUAUCUUAUUAUACCUGCUUUGGUUUCAUGUUAAAUUUGUGAUGGGAACACUGACAUUGGAGCAUUUCCACCUGGUGAAACUUAAUCUAAAGGAAGACUGACAUUGAAUCUUAAUGCUGCCUCUUGGAAUGAACUGCAGAAUUUCCAAGUUGCAGUAGGACAGCUCAUGCCUGUUUGUUUGGAGGUUUGGCAGCUGCUGCAAGUCCAGUGACAUCAUCAUGCUGGCACAGUGAUUACUGAGAAAUGCAGUGAAAACAACAUGGCAAUGACUGCUAAGCACCAAAGACGUCUCCAAAUACAAACAAACAGACUGCAGAUAAUCACUUAGAAAUAAUUUCAUUGACUGGUCUUAAGAAGAGUGGAAACAUAAGACACAAAGAUGAAAUAAAGGCAUUUUCAGGUUUUCUUUCACCGCAAAAAAUAAGUAGCCGGAUUAAACUUGGGUCAGGGCUGCUUAAGUCCACCAAUAAUCGACCGAGUCAAGGUCAACAACCCAGUCAGUCCUGCAUAAGCCCUGUGUGGAUUGGUCAAAUAUUUCUCAGCAAUGAUCACACCACGCUUUCAGAUGCUUUUCUUCCAGUGAGAGCUUGUGAGUGUUUAUUUCAUGUGAAAAUGAUGCUAUUUGUGCUUGAUGAAAAUGGAAGAUCAGCAUCAAUAUUUAGUGAAGCCAUUCAGCAAAUAUUAGAUGCUCACCAAACCUUGGAGGUUAACAUCACAGUUUUCAACAAA